CAAUAAAAAAACAAACAGCUCUGUUACGGGGCUACAAAACCCCAGGUCCACGUGAACUCGUAACGUAAAACAGGAAGCCCAGAGCCACGCCCGCCGAGGGCGUCCGCCACUCCCCGCGGUUACCCGGGCACCGGGGCGGGAACGGGGCGCGCCGGGCUCCGGGCGAGGACCCGUCCCUGCCGCGCAGCUUCUCGGCUGCGGGACCCGGAGCCGCGCCGACCUCGGCCCCGCCCGGGCGUUAGCGUGACCCGGGGCCGGUGCGCGGUGAACGCCCGGCGGCCUGCCCCGCGGGCUCCAGGGGCUGUGCUCUCGCGCGCAUGGCGAGUGGCGCUUUCCCUGGCUGCUCACAGAGGCCAGAGGGACUAAGAUGGUGUCCGUUGGGCGCCCCGGGAGCGGCCUCCAGAAGGAUUUACGGACCCGGCAGCCGGAGGUAGGAAGUGGGGAGCCCAGAAGUCCCGCGCCCCCACGGCCAAAGCACAGCCGAGUACGCUCCCCGACGGAACCGGUGUUUGCGGGCAGAACGCCCGAAGCCCGGAGAGGCGGGGCGGGAUUCUGAUCACCAUCUCGCGACGUCUCAGUGACGUCGCACAGCAGUCGCGUGUUCCACUCUUUCACCUUCAGUCCACUCCCUCAGUACGUGGGCCUACCCCUUUAAGCGAGUGAUUGACAGUUAUUUCAGCCAUUCAACGUCCCUAGCACCAUCCAAUCAGAUUUAAACUUCUCUCAGCCGCCAAAGGAGUUGGAAAAAGGGAUCGAAAGAGGGAGAGCUCUUUCGCGCGAGAUCGCUGUGAGGCGGCCUCUGAGGGGAAGAAAACGCCAGAAAAGAUGGCCCGACCUUCCGAGUAGUGGAUUAAAGGACGGGGUCGAAAACCAAUAAAAGGGAUGAGGAGGUGGGAUCAUUGCUUUCCGGAGCCAGAAGUACCGUUACAGGGCACACUUCUUGUCCAAUCAACGCCUCCAGACUUUGGCUCAGGUGACCACAGAGUGCGAGGGGCGGAGCUACAGCCUGGCGCGAGGAACCGUUAAGAUGGACAACGAAUGUAGCCAAUGAGGUACUCCGACUGAGGCGUUGGGAACCCAAUAACAGUGGCCGGGCGGGCGCCUUCCCGGAGCGCGGGGAGAUGUAAAGACAGACAAGUAGUUUUCCCAAUGAGGCUGUAGAAGAGGGGAGCUACUUGGCCAAUGGAGGCGGCGGGGCGGGAUCCUUUGCAGCGGCGGAGCCCAAGAUGGCGGCAUGCGGUUCCGCUGUGUGAAACCAGCGCGGGGCGGCGGGUUCUUCAGCUCCGCGGAGACGACCUCCGGCGACCCGCAGCAAUGAAGGGGAAAGAGCGCUCUCCAGUCAAAUCCAAGCGCUCCCGUGGUGGUGAGGAUUCGACUUCCCGUGGGGAGCGGAGCAAGAAGUUAGGGGGCUCUGGCGGCAGCAAUGGGAGCAGCAGCGGUAAGACCGACGGCGGCGGCGGCGGGUCGCGGCGCAGCCUCCAUCUCGACAAGUCCAGCAGCCGAGGCGGCAGCCGCGAGUAUGACACGGGAGGGGGCAGCUCCAGUAGCCGCUUGCACAGUUACAGCUCCCCGAGCGCUAAAAAUUCCUCGGGCGGGGGCGAGUCGCGCGGCAGCUCCCGAGGUGGAGGCGGGGAGUCACGUUCCUCGGGGGCCGCCUCCUCCGCUGCCGACGGCGGCGAGUACAAGACCCUGAAGAUCAGCGAGCUGGGGUCCCAGCUGAGUGACGAAGCGGUGGAGGACGGGCUGUUCCACGAGUUCAAACGCUUCGGUGAUGUGAGUGUCAAAAUCAGCCAUCUCUCGGGUUCGGGCGGCGGGGACGAGCGCGUCGCCUUUGUGAACUUCCGGCGGUCAGAGGACGCGCGGGCGGCCAAGCAUGCCAGAGGCCGCCUGGUGCUCUAUGACCGGCCCCUGAAGAUAGAAGCCGUGUACGUGAGCCGGCGCCGCAGCCGCUCCCCCCUGGACAAGGAUUCUUACCCGCCGUCCUCCAGCGUGGUCGGGGCCUCGGUCGGCGGCCACCGGCACGCCCCGGGCGGAGGGGGCGGAGGCCAGAGAUCACUGUCCCCCGGCGGGGCGGCCUUAGGAUACAGAGACUACCGAUUGCAGCAGUUGGCCCUUGGCCGCCUGCCCCCGCCGCCGCCGCCACCCUUGCCCCGGGACCUGGAGCGGGAGCGGGACUACCCGUUCUAUGAGAGAGUGCGCCCGGCCUACAACCUCGAGCCCCGGGUGGGCGCUGGAGCAGGUGCUGCUCCUUUCAGAGAAGUGGAUGAGAUCUCACCGGAGGAUGAUCAGCGAGCUAACAGGACGCUUUUCCUGGGCAACCUGGACAUCACUGUGACCGAGAGCGAUCUAAGGAGGGCCUUUGAUCGCUUCGGAGUCAUCACCGAAGUAGACAUCAAGAGGCCUUCUCGGGGCCAGACCAGUACCUACGGCUUUCUCAAAUUUGAGAACCUAGACAUGUCUCACCGAGCCAAAGUAGCAAUGUCUGGCAAGAUUAUAAUCCGGAAUCCUAUCAAAAUUGGUUAUGGUAAAGCUACACCCACCACCCGCCUCUGGGUAGGUGGCCUGGGACCUUGGGUGCCUCUUGCUGCCCUGGCACGAGAAUUUGACCGAUUUGGCACUAUACGCACCAUAGACUACCGCAAAGGUGAUAGUUGGGCCUAUAUCCAGUAUGAAAGCCUAGAUGCCGCUCAUGCUGCCUGGACCCAUAUGCGGGGCUUUCCACUUGGUGGUCCAGAUCGCCGCCUCAGAGUAGACUUUGCAGACACAGAACAUCGGUACCACCAGCAGUAUCUGCAGCCUCUGCCCUUAACUCAUUAUGACUUGGUGACAGAUGCUUUUGGACAUCGGGCACCUGACCCUUUGAGGGGUGCGAGGGAUAGGACACCACCCUUACUAUACAGAGAUUGUGAUAGGGACCUUUAUUCUGACUCUGAUUGGGUGCCGCCCCCGCCCCCAGUCCGGGAACGCAGCACUCGGACUGCCCCUACUUCUGUGCCUGCUUAUGAGCCACUGGAUAGCCUGGAUCGCAGGCGGGAUGGCUGGUCCUUGGACCGGGACAGAGGUGAUCGAGAUCUGCCCAGCAGCAGAGACCAGCCCAGGAAGCGAAGGCUGCCUGAGGACAGUGGGGGACGGCAUCUGGAUAGGUCCCCUGAGAGCGACCGUCCUCGGAAACGUCACUGCGUUCCUUCUCCUGAUCGCAGUCCAGACUUGAGCAGUAGCAGGGAUCGCUACAACAGUGACAAUGAUCGAUCUUCUCGUCUUCUUCUCUUGGAAAGGCCCUCUCCAAUCAAAGACAGACGAGGUAGUUUGGAGAAAAGCCAGGGUGACAAGCGAGACCGCAAAAACUCUGCAUCAGUUGAACGUGAUAGGAAGCAUCGGACAGCUGCUCCCACCGAGGGAAAAAGCCCUCUGAAAAAAGAAGACCGGUCUGAUGGGAGUGCAGCCAGCACCAGCACUGUUUCUUCAAAGCUGAAGCCCCCUUCCCAGAAACAGGAUGGUGGGACAGCUCCUGCUGCAGCCGCCUCUCCCAAGCUCUGUUUGGCCUGGCAGGGCAUGCUUCUGUUGAAGAACAGCAACUUUCCUUCCAACAUGCAUCUGUUGCAGGGCGACCUCCAAGUGGCUAGUAGUCUUCUCGUGGAGGGCUCCAGUGGAGGCAAAGUUGCCCAGCUCAAGAUCACUCAGCGUCUUCGUUUGGACCAGCCCAAGUUGGAUGAAGUAACUCGACGCAUCAAAGUGGCAGGGCCCAAUGGUUAUGCCAUUCUUCUGGCUGUGCCUGGAAGUUCUGACGGCAGAUCCUCUUCCUCCGCCACAUCAGAUACUGCCACCUCUACUCAGAGGCCACUAAGGAACCUGGUGUCCUAUUUAAAGCAAAAGCAGGCUGCUGGGGUGAUCAGCCUCCCCGUGGGGGGCAACAAAGACAAGGAAAACACCGGGGUCCUUCAUGCCUUCCCACCCUGUGAGUUCUCCCAGCAGUUCCUGGAUUCUCCUGCCAAGGCACUGGCCAAAUCUGAAGAAGAUUACCUGGUCAUGAUCAUUGUCCGUGCUGAGGCGUUACUUGCUGCUGCUCAGAUCUUGUAUGUCUUGAGCAAGAAGCAGGGAGACCAUCACUUUGACUUACCGCGGUGUGUCAAUUCUGAAGGAUCACUAGUGUUACUGUGACCCCCUUUGUUUGCAGCGAAGGGGAUCAUUUGCUUCUCGGUCCUCAACUUGAUGAGGAAAUGGUGCUGUUGGCUGGCACGAAAGAAGCCGGGGCGAGCACCGUAAGCCUCACCACAGUGCACGAGUCGGGGGCUUUGCUGGUUUGAAGAGCCGGAGUUGCUGAAAUUUAAGUUUUGAUUUAUUUUGUUCACCUGUCACGUUUGGCCUUAGUUUCAUUUUUAAUUUGAAGAAAAGUUUGCAAUUGCUUUAUCUUGCACUUAACAUUUGCACCAAAUUGCCAAAAGAAGGAGAAUGCUCCGUUUGCUUUUUAAAUGUUAAUGAUGAUGUUAAUAAAGCCUUUCCUGACACAUUUGAGGAGCUCCUCCGUCUCCAGGGGCUUCUCACCAGAGGUAUGCAGUGAUGGGUUUAGUUCUGAAUGGAUGAAGAGUUCCUGAGAGCUAGCGUUUGUAAUUAGAACCGUUACUUGGUAUCUGUGCCUUAUUUGACCUGUGGUUCCACAUGCCUUGGAUGUGCAUGCACCGUGACGGUUUCAUAGGUACGAACGCACACUCAGGCCCAGACACCUCGGUCGGUAGUACAGAUUGUGAGGAAAAAAUGGAGGCAUCCUUAAGGAGGAAAAGUGUUUGCCUUUAGUUCCUGCGUUAUCCUGCACAGGGGGUCCUGAGCUUUGGAAGCUGUUCCCAGUGCAGGAGAACAACUCCCCUGUUUGCAGCAGGAGACUUCGGUGCACAGUGACAACGCUGGAGUUCAAGAGGAAGCCAGCAAUGCUGCACCAUUGGCUUCAGACACCAUUGUUGUUUGCCAGUUGUAAACUUAACUAGUUGCAGACGAAGACCACCUUGACAUGCAGGCUUGUUGGGCUUGUUUUGAAUUUUAACCUCGGAUGGAAGAGCCUAGUGCUGUCUGUCUCCAUGCGGGAUGAUGAUUACUUAGGCAACAGGUGAUUACCAACAAAGGAUGCCACGCUUAUACUCUGCAAGGUGGUGUUCCAGUGGCAAACAGCUGUAUAAGCUCUUGUAAACAGGUUCUCAAUGUGUCUUACAAGAGUUUUUAAACAUCUGCUUAAGAAUUGGCUGCCAUCUAAAGCUUUGCUAAAUGAUCGCUUACCUACAUGUCUAAAGGUUUUUAUACCUGUUAGGAAUGUCAAUUUCCAGUGCAUUUUCUUUCUCUGGUUAGUUCAUACUGAAAGCCCAUUAAGUAAUUUUUCCAGUUAUUAAACAAGUAUUUUAAAUUACUAUAGCGAUUUGAGGAAGAUUAUGUUACACUCUACAUAUUUCUGCAUAUUUGGUAUCUUUCUAAGAUCUUAGACUUCCUCUCAGGAAUUAGAAGAAAUGUUGCACCAAGUUAUUUGCUUAUUUGUAUAUGAAACUGUAUGCAAAAUGGAAAGGUCCACAGUAUGACAGUUUUGAAAUUAGUCAAGAAGUUUUAUUGCCAGCUAUACUGGGAAAGAAAAAUUAAUUAGGUCAACUGUUAGAUCUAGGGUUCUGGUUUUAUAAAUUGGAAACCGCCCUUCUGAAAUAUUGGUGUGGUUUCCCAAUGUCUUUCAUAUGAUCUAAAUUUAGGGUUCUACUCUAAAGGAAAUAGUUCCAUGAACAUCUCUGAAUUGAUUUGUGCUCAUGUUGGGAAGCCCCGCUGUGAGUGUUAAAAUUGAAAAUAGGGAUUACCCUGACUUUGGUAAAUCAACCUUGAUUUUGUAAAUUGCCACUUCUGUAGGUUAAGUUAUAUUGUUGUUUCCAAGUUGUUUAUCUCAGGCAAUAAAUUUAGUACUUAUAACCCCCUGGCAAUGGGCAAGGAGACACCUGAUUGGUGGUGUUGCUCUUAUAUCAGUCAGGGGCAAAGCAGAUGUACAGUCCUUAGUUCAUCCUAGCUUGAUGCCUGUGUCGGUGGCCAGAGCUAUUUCAUGCCUGAGGCACAUAAAAAAAAUUUUUAGUACUUAAUGACUUGUAUAACAUCUAUUUUCUUUUUGCAAUAGGAUAUCCGAUUGUGGCUUGUCUGACCACCACCUUCAUCUCCCAUCUUACUCCCUUUAAGCUUCCCUGGUUAAAAGACCCUUUUACUUAGUAACUUGAAUUAUAACCUAGUUUUAAAUUGUUAGCAGAGGAAUUUAUUGAAUAACAAAAUUCCUUCAAACCUCAGACAAGAUUGUUCUUAGCAAGUAAGAAGAGAUUUUGACCUUGAAGUAAAGUGACAUAACCAUAAACAGGUAAAUAGUUAAAUAUCAGGAGAAAAAUUCACAGUUUAAAACAACUAUAGGAGAGAUGUCACAAUAUUUCAGUUGGUUUACUAAUGAAUUUUCACAGGUGAUAGGGGUAUAUGAAUGAGUAGAUGAAGUUUAAGGUUACUUUAAGCUAGAAUGGUCAUAAAAAGCCUUACAAAAGAAUUUGUUAGUUGGAGAAGGAUGUGGAAUGGGGGAGGGAGGUUGGGAUUAAGAUGUCAGGCAGACAAGCAUGAAUCACAAUCCAGCAGCCUGUUGUUUGAUGGAAAAGAUGCAGGCUGAAGCUUGGAAAAGGAGUAAAAUGGUUGGGUCAACAAAAACAGAAUCCUGAGGAUAAGCCAGUUUGAGGAGGGCACGGAGUGAGGAUGCAUAACCAGUUGAAACAUGUUGAUUAAAAGUAACAGUAUUAAUAAUAGGAAUCAUUUAUCAAAUACCCCCUUCAGGCCAACAUUCUGCCAGGUUCUAUUACACAUUGUCUCAUGUCUCACCACAGACCAUAAUCUGAUAGCUAGUAAGUGAUAGAACCAGAAUUCUAACCAGGCCUUUAUUGUCACUGUACUGUCACAGUUCGCUCCUCUGCGGGCUGGGAUGGGAUUGAAGCUCUAACCUUACGCAUAUGGGCAAUAGAUUUCAAGCUACAGAGUGUGUCAACAUUCAUAGCUCUUGGGAAACAUACAGGUCCUCAACUCCAAUCCCAGACAUUCUGGGAUUUGUUAGGGCCAGCAUGGCCCAGGAGCCUGUUCUUUCACAAGCUCCCCAGGUAAAUUCUGCUGUAAUCUAUGGUCAGUGGCCGCAUGUUGAGCAACACUGGCCCACAGAGUGGAGUGCUGAAGUAUGUACAUAUUUAAGACAUGGGAAGGGAACAUGGUGCUGGGAAAGAGGCCCCGGUAGGAGAGCCAGAAUAGUGUUCUGUCUCUGGAGCUGAAACGAGGCCCUUCCAGAUGAUGAAUUAAAGCUGUUGCAGAGACAAGCAGAAUGAAACGACAAAUGCCAUGGAAUUUAUCACGAAGAGUGUCACUUAAGUAACAGUUUUAUAGUCAUGUGAUUAUUUCCUCAAGGAAUUCAGUCUUGCUUAGUAUUUAAUUUUGCCUUAGAACAGUCCGUGAAGAAGGGCCACUGUGUAGUUUAUGAUAUGCUAAAGGGAUACCGGAAAAGUUUGUGACUUGGCUAAGGGAUACAAAGCCAGGACCUGAUUGAGAUAUCCUUGAGUUUGCAGAUGUUAAUCUAAAAGUAACGUGACUAUAGUCUAACUUAAAUUAAAAUUGCAGGUGAUUCUAGGAUUGCAUGUGUAUGGACACAUGUAAGUUAUUUUCCAUGAAUGAACAUCACCUGUCAACUACCUUCUAACUAGGUUACUAGUAGUAUGGAGACAAUGGAAUCAUAGGUAAAGUUGAGUGUAUUUUUGACUUGUAAAUAGUUGAAAGAUUUCCUAUUUUGAAUUAGGCAUACUGGGUUGUCUUCAAUUAAUGUAGCUAAUUCUUCAAAUAUUUAUAUAUUUUAUUGAUUUUUUACAGAGAGGAAGGGAG
Myotis daubentonii (Daubenton's bat) is the source of this 7899-nucleotide RNA transcript. It is a transcript of the gene named RNA binding motif protein 15, with no coding region annotated. The transcript has 3 exons. NCBI's taxonomy places the organism in Eukaryota, Metazoa, Chordata, Mammalia, Chiroptera, Vespertilionidae. The record is from RefSeq and is a predicted model, not a curated record.